CUCAGGGCGGGGUGAAAUUCCCCACCGGCGGUAACAGUCCGCGAGCGCGGCGACGGAGUUUUCUUCGGUCGCCGGUCAGCAGAGCCGGCGCAACUCCGGCACCGACGGUCACAGUCCGGAUGAGAGAGUA
RNAcentral lists this non-coding RNA (130 nucleotides) under chicken gut metagenome. RNAcentral's name for it is "FMN riboswitch (RFN element)". It matches the Rfam family "FMN riboswitch aptamer (RFN element)", at positions 8 to 131 of the family's 138-position model. Rfam says of the family: The RFN element is a highly conserved domain that is found frequently in the 5'-untranslated regions of prokaryotic mRNAs that encode for flavin mononucleotide (FMN) biosynthesis and transport proteins. This element is a metabolite-dependent riboswitch that directly binds FMN in the absence of proteins. The record is from RNAcentral.